AGAGGUGGCAAGCGUUGUUCGGAAUUACUGGGCGUAAAGGGCGCGUAGGCGGCCUUCUUAGUCAGACGUGAAAUCCCCGGGCUUAACUCGGGAACUGCGUCUGAUACUGGAAGGCUGGAGUUCGGGAGAGGGAUGUGGAAUUCCAGGUGUAGCGGUGAAAUGCGUAGAUAUCUGGAGGAACACCGGUGGCGAAGGCAGCAUCCUGGACCGAAACUGACGCUGAUGCGCGAAAGCCAGGGGAGCAAACGGGAUUAGAUACCCCGGUAGUCCUGGCCCUAAACGAUGAGUGCUUGGUGUGGCGGGUAUCGAUCCCUGCCGUGCCGAAGCUAACGCAUUAAGCACUCCGCCUGGGGAGUACGGUCGCAAGGCUGAA
RNAcentral lists this ribosomal RNA (373 nucleotides) under uncultured bacterium. Its description in RNAcentral is "bacterial SSU rRNA". It matches the Rfam family "Bacterial small subunit ribosomal RNA", at positions 527 to 898 of the family's 1533-position model. The record is from RNAcentral.